This 150-nucleotide unclassified non-coding RNA is filed under the name uncultured Mortierella. RNAcentral's name for it is "sequence contains ITS1". Lineage: Eukaryota; Fungi; Mortierellomycota; Mortierellomycetes; Mortierellales; Mortierellaceae. The record is from RNAcentral.
UAAUAAGUGUUUUACUGCACUUUUUAAACAAGUACUCACCUUGUGUGCAAUGUUUGCUGACAUCGUCGUUCACGCGUCGCGUCAGCAUAAUACCAACCCUUUAUUGAAACUUUUUUGUCUGAAGAUAUUUUGAAUAAAUAAUUCUAAAUA